UCGCUUUUCAAUACGAGCCGUUAGGAUGUCUAACCGUCUCUUUGCAAACGUCACGAGGAGUGUCACGGAAUAUACAGAGACCGGGCGAUUAGAUUCGUUUCUUAUCUAGACCUUUUCCCCUCUGGGUGGUUCAUCACGUGUUUUCGAGCUGUCAUCUCUAUCAAUUGUAAGUGCAUAAAGGAGGUAUUUUCGAUCAAUAAUUAAAAGAAAGUUGAGUGUUUGUUUUA
This is a long non-coding RNA of Ceratina calcarata, 227 nucleotides long. RefSeq lists it as uncharacterized. The record is from RefSeq and is a predicted model, not a curated record. Lineage: Eukaryota; Metazoa; Arthropoda; Insecta; Hymenoptera; Apidae. The transcript is spliced from 2 exons.